RNAcentral lists this ribosomal RNA (468 nucleotides) under uncultured bacterium. RNAcentral describes it as "partial 16S ribosomal RNA". It matches the Rfam family "Bacterial small subunit ribosomal RNA", at positions 28 to 507 of the family's 1533-position model. The record is from RNAcentral.
GACGAACGCUGGCGGCGUGCUUAACACAUGCAAGUCGAACGGAAAGGCCCUGCUUUUGUGGGGGGCUCGAGUGGCGAACGGGUGAGUAACACGUGAGUAACCUGCCCUUGACUUUGGGAUAACUUCAGGAAACUGGGGCUAAUACAGGAUAGAAGCUCCUGCUGCAUGGUGGGGGUUGGUAAGUUUCGGCGGUUGGGGAUGGCUUGGCGGCUUAUCAGCUUGUUGGUGGGGUAGUGGCUUACCAAGGCUUUGACGGGUAGCCGGCCUGGGAGGGUGACCGGCGACAUUGGGACUGAGAGACGGCCCAGACUCCUACGGGAGGCAGCAGGGGGGAGUAUUGCAGAAUGGGGGGAAGCGUGAUGAAGCAACGCCGCGUGCGGGAUGACGGCUUUCGGGGUGUAAACCGCUUUCGACUGUGACGAAGCGGGAGUGACGGUAAUGGGUAAAGAAGCAACGGCUAACUACGUG